AUGGCGCGUACCAAGCAGACCGCCCGCAAGUCCACCGGCGGCAAGGCCCCCCGCAAGCAGCUCGCCACCACCAUCGCGGCGAGGAAGUCGGCCCCGACCACCGGCGGCGUGAAGAAGCCCCACCGCUACAGGCCCGGCACGGUGGCGCUCAGGGAGAUCCGCAAGUACCAGAAGAGCACGGACCUGCUCAUCCGCAAGCUGCCGUUUCAGCGCCUUGUGAGGGAGAUCGCCCAGGACUUCAAGACCGAUCUGCGGUUCCAGAGCCACGCCGUGCUGGCGCUCCAGGAGGCCGCUGAGGCGUACCUCGUCGGGCUCUUCGAGGACACCAACCUGUGCGCCAUCCACGCCAAGCGCGUCACCAUCAUGCCCAAGGACAUCCAGCUCGCCCGCCGCAUCCGUGGCGAACGUGCCUAG
RNAcentral lists this ribosomal RNA (414 nucleotides) under Triticum aestivum (bread wheat). RNAcentral describes it as "partial small subunit ribosomal RNA". Lineage: Eukaryota; Viridiplantae; Streptophyta; Magnoliopsida; Poales; Poaceae. The record is from RNAcentral.